This 454-nucleotide ribosomal RNA is filed under the name uncultured Saprospiraceae bacterium. RNAcentral describes it as "bacterial SSU rRNA". It matches the Rfam family "Bacterial small subunit ribosomal RNA", at positions 28 to 476 of the family's 1533-position model. Lineage: Bacteria; Pseudomonadati; Bacteroidota; Saprospiria; Saprospirales; Saprospiraceae. The record is from RNAcentral.
GAUGAACGCUAGCGGGAGGCUUAAUACAUGCAAGUCGAGCGGUAAGGUACUUCGGUACCCUAGAGCGGCGCACGGGUGAGUAACGCGUACGCAAUCUACCUUUCAGAGUGGAAUAGCCCUGGGAAACUGGGAUUAAUACCGCAUAGUAUUUAGAGUUGGCAUCAACUUUAAAUUAAAACUCCGGUGCUGAAAGAUGAGCGUGCGUACUAUUAGCUAGUUGGUAAGGUAACGGCUUACCAAGGCUACGAUAGUUAGGGGGCGUGAGAGCGUGACCCCCCACACGGGUACUGAGAUACGGCCCAGACUCCUACGGGAGGCAGCAGUCGAGAAGCUUCGGCAAUGGGCGAAAGCCUGACCGAGCGAUGCCGCGUGAGCGAAGAAGGUCCUAUGGAUUGUAAAGCUCUGUCAGAUUGGGAAGAAAACCUCGCGGUUAAUACCCGCGGGGCUUGACGGU